Molecule: ribosomal RNA, 441 nt
Filed under: uncultured bacterium
Lineage: Bacteria
Description: bacterial SSU rRNA
Rfam family: Bacterial small subunit ribosomal RNA
Source: RNAcentral
AACGCGAAGAACCUUACCAAGGCUUGACAUCCCUCUGACCGAUUUAGAGAUAGAUCUUUCCCUUCGGGGACAGAGGUGACAGGUGGUGCAUGGUUGUCGUCAGCUCGUGUCGUGAGAUGUUGGGUUAAGUCCCGCAACGAGCGCAACCCUUAUCUUUAGUUGCCAGCAUUUAGUUGGGCACUCUAGAGAGACUGCCGGUGACAAACCGGAGGAAGGUGGGGAUGACGUCAAAUCAUCAUGCCCCUUAUGUCUUGGGCUACACACGUGCUACAAUGGUUGGUACAAAGGGCUGCAAGCCAGCGAUGGUUAGCCAAUCCCAUAAAGCCAAUCUCAGUUCGGAUUGUAGGCUGCAACUCGCCUACAUGAAGUCGGAAUCGCUAGUAAUCGCAGAUCAGCAUGCUGCGGUGAAUACGUUCCCGGGCCUUGUACACACCGGAGUGC